GAAGUACUCCCUCCAUCCCAAAAUUCUUGUCUUAGAUUCGUCUAGAUAUAGAUGUAUCUAAUACUAAAACGUGACUUGAGCAUCCGUAUUUACACAAAUCUAAGACAAGAAUUUUGGGACGGAGGGAGUAGUAU
Non-coding RNA from Triticum aestivum (bread wheat), 134 nucleotides. NCBI's taxonomy places the organism in Eukaryota, Viridiplantae, Streptophyta, Magnoliopsida, Poales, Poaceae. The record is from Rfam.